Molecule: small RNA, 75 nt
Filed under: Xanthomonas sp. 4461
Lineage: Bacteria; Pseudomonadati; Pseudomonadota; Gammaproteobacteria; Lysobacterales; Lysobacteraceae
Description: sRNA sX9
Rfam family: Xanthomonas sRNA sX9
Source: RNAcentral
UGGGGCCCUCGCACCCGCCGGUUCCGGGCGUGCCGUCCGCACCCGCCCACGACUGGUCGUUACGUUGUGUUGGCC